AAAGACCAAAUGAAUAGUGUCCUCUAAUGUGUAUUUGCAAGUCAGUUUAGAAAAUGGGACUCUAUACCACCUACUGGGCCCUUCUGCCGGCCACCGGCUCCCUAAGCAAGCUUGCUUAAUCCACACUCGCCACAUAAGCAGCUCCCCAACCCAUGGCUGCAAAGAGCCCAGCCUGGAUUCAGACCCAGGCCAUCCAAUUCAAGGCACAUGUAUACUAGAAGAAUUAACAGCUCACAUCACCAGAGGAGGUCUUCACAGAAACGAGCAUUUUUAAAAUAGUAACUGACCCUCUUGAUGUAUUUCCCCAACAGGUGCAUGACUACCUCCGCAGCAAGCUGUGCUCCCUCUACGAAAACGACUGCAUUUUUGAUAAAUUUGAAUGUGUGUGGAAUGGGUCAGACAGCGUCAUCAUGACAGGCUCCUACAACAACUUCUUCAGGAUGUUCGACAGAAACACCAAGCGUGACGUCACCCUGGAGGCCUCAAGGGAAAACAGCAAACCCCGGGCUAUCCUAAAACCGCGGAAAGUGUGCGUAGGGGGCAAGCGGAGAAAAGACGAGAUCAGUGUCGACAGUCUGGACUUUAGCAAAAAGAUCUUGCAUACGGCUUGGCACCCUUCAGAAAAUAUUAUAGCAGUGGCGGCUACAAAUAACCUAUAUAUAUUCCAGGACAAGGUUAACUAGGAGGACAAGUUAUUACUUAAUAAUCUCACAUACUGAAUACUAGUCAGACAUGUUUUUAAAUGUUUCUUUGGGUCUUCAUUUGAUGCAUUGACAUUAAUUUCCCUAUGCAGAAAACAAUUGGAAUAGAAUUAAAAGGAGUCCAACUUUCCCAGAUCCCCAGUUCUAAGAAACUUUUGUCAAACCCAAUAGGUUCUGAGACAUUUCUGUUUAGAAUUGAGAGCUGCCAGCUAACACUAAUUCUCCAUAGUUGACUUGAAUUUCUGAUGCUUUUCUUGCCCGGUUUUCUCUGGUGGGUCCAGUGUUUUGUUUCUAGGUGUCUGCUGAGAUAAAAUGAGGUUGUCUGUAGUAUUUAAAGAGAAAAGAGAUAAGUUUUUUUUUAAUUAAGCAAUUCCAUUUGAUUGAAAAAAAUCAACAAAAAAAUAAACACCGUUUACUCUUAGA
Leptonychotes weddellii (Weddell seal) is the source of this 1124-nucleotide non-coding RNA. Lineage: Eukaryota; Metazoa; Chordata; Mammalia; Carnivora; Phocidae. The record is from RefSeq and is a predicted model, not a curated record.